Molecule: long non-coding RNA, 1026 nt
Filed under: Mytilus galloprovincialis (Mediterranean mussel)
Lineage: Eukaryota; Metazoa; Mollusca; Bivalvia; Mytilida; Mytilidae
Source: RNAcentral
GCCUUUUUACCACUUCGUAUGUGACGUCAGUGUUAUGACUUUUUGUGUUCAGGCCUGGACUGAGUCGGGUGUGUCUAUUUUCUGUGUUGGUCUUCAAUGUAUUAUGUAUUUGGGUUUUGUUUUCUGUAAUUAGUUAAGACGUCAGUUUUAUCAUGUAAAUCUUUUAUAUUCAUUUGAUAAAAUUUACUGUUUGCAAUAGCAUAAAUUGUUCUAAAUAAUAAGGAUGUUCUCUUCACAAGCAGAAAACCCUAGCCGUAUUUGGCACAACCUUUUUCAAAUUUUGAUCCUCAGAGCUGUACAACUUUGUACCCCCUUUUUUUUUACUUUCGAAAUUUUAUAUCUGGGCGUCACUGGUAAGUCUUGUGUGGACGAGGCGCGCUUUUGGCGUAUUGAGUUUUAAACCUGAUGCCUUUUGUUAUCUAUUAUUCCUGUGUUUCUUUGCCUAAUACGUUCUUCUUUUUAUUUGUAUUGUAGUCCUGUAUAAUUAUGUUGUCAUUUUAAUGUUAUAUUUAACAAUGCCAUGAAAGUGCGAGAUUUGGCAUGCCACAAAACCAGGUUCAAUCCACCAUUUUUUUUCUUUGAAAAUGAUCUGUACCAAGUCAGGAAAAUGGCCAUUGUUAUAUCAUCGUUCGUUUCUGUGUAUGUAACAUUUUUACGUUGUGUUUCCGUUGUGUCGUUUGUUUUCUCCUAUAUUUGAGUGUGAAUUCACAUCACUAUAAGACGUGUAACGGUACUUUUCUAUCCCAAAUUCAUGUAUUUGGUUUUGAUUUUAUAUUGGUUAUUCUCAUCGGAUUUUGUCUAAUGCUUAGUCCGUUGCUGUGUGUGUUACAGUUUAAUGUUGUGUCGUUGUUCUUCUCUUAUAUUUAAUGCGUUUCCUCAGUUUUAGUUUGUUACCCCGAUUUUGUUUUUUGUCCAUAGAUUUAUGAGUUUUGAACAGCAGUAUACUACUGUUGCCUUUAUUUAUAACACUAAAACUCUCACUUGUAUGACAGUCGCAUUAAAUUUCAUUAUAUUUACAACGAUGCG